GAUUAGUGAGCAGGGCUGCGUUUUCCUGCUGCCAUCGUUCUGCUGCGCGUUCUCCCUCUUCACUCGGAGAAACCAGUUUUCAACCUUUUCCCACUCGCACUCAUCACAGAGAUGUGGGUCCCGUACGGCCCUGGAAUGUGGAGUGCGGGAGCCCGGAUGCACAGAGUGCAGCAAAGCAAGACAGACGAGACUGGAAAACAAUAAUGGAAGGAAGGAGUCAGGUAUUAGUGAGAAUGGAGAGACGUGUCUCUCCCUCGCGGAGCUGCUUGGCAGGAAGCGCUGCGGGGACAGCAGGACCAGCAGAACAGCAGCCGCGUGUGAGCGGCUCCGACGGAGCAGCGCGGCCCGUCCAAUCACGUCCGCCCCGCGGGCCUGCGGUCGGGCUUCUCCGUACGAGCGAGCUCUAAUUCUCCCGAGCCGAUACGCUGCAGCGCCAUGAGGAAUGCAUUUUGAACCCACGUCUGGGAUGCUGCACUUUCUCCGUUUUCCAGGCCGAAUGAAAGGGACAGGACGCCGCAACAUAUUAGUGACGAGAAAAAAAACUCAGGAAGGAAAAGAGAAGGCCACAAAGAUGAGGAGAAAAGCUUGAGGGUAACAGUGUGUCUUUCAACACGUAGGCCACUGUAUACUGAAAUCAGCGCUUAGCAACAGCUUCCAACUGAGUCCCCGUUGUCAUGGAGACGAGCAAAGGAUGCUGAAAAGUGAGUAUUUACCAGCGAUCCGAACAGUAGUAAAGAAAAACAAUUUGCCAGUGUCACAAACUGUCUUAGUCAUCCACAAAUAGCACAUUUUACUUUA
Betta splendens (Siamese fighting fish) is the source of this 798-nucleotide long non-coding RNA. RefSeq lists it as uncharacterized. The record is from RefSeq and is a predicted model, not a curated record. Lineage: Eukaryota; Metazoa; Chordata; Actinopteri; Anabantiformes; Osphronemidae. The transcript is spliced from 3 exons.